This 2454-nucleotide long non-coding RNA is filed under the name Homo sapiens (human). Its description in RNAcentral is "non-protein coding SMG7-AS1:3". The record is from RNAcentral. Lineage: Eukaryota; Metazoa; Chordata; Mammalia; Primates; Hominidae.
UCCCUCAACGCCUGUCUUCCCUCGCGCGUAGAGAGUGACUCGAAGGACCCCCUCUCCUCUUCGCUGCAGCCCCUCCCCAUGCACGCUGGGAGACUCUUGGAGGGGAUAAGGUGGGGCCCGGAGAGGAAGAGAAGACAAUCGGAUUGGAUAGGCAGCUGCCAUGGCAACUGGAGGCUGUGGUUAUAUUGUCAUAGUAACCGAUGUGUGCGGACAGGGUCACCCUCCCCUUGGCCAAUGGAUUCCCAGGAAACCACCCAGGGUUCCCCGUUGGCUUCCCUUCCAUCUAAAGGCCUCCCCCAAGUUAGGAAUCGAUAUAGUUCUCCCCGGUGGUGAAGUCCACUUCCUCCUCCCUUCCCACUUCCCACAGCAACUGGGGGGACACCCCGAGGCAUUCACCAUGGGCUUUUCCACCCGCCUGCGAGCGGGAACCACCUCCGUAGUUUCCUCUCAGAGCCGGGCGUGGAGAGGGCUGGGCCUGCGAAGAGGAUGCAUGGCCUGGAGGCUGGCGGGCGGCGGGCUGGAGUCGGGAGGGCGAGGCGACAGCGCCAAGCGGCGAGGAAGGGCAAGGGGUUUCCCCACAACUGCCUUGGGCUCUGGGAGGCGGGAUCCCGCCUGGACGGGGUCCCUGAGGGAGGAGAGCGGCACACGACAGCCGCGAUGCCUUCCCUGCCGACGGGGAUAGCCGACUUCUGGCGAGUCGACCCCUCCCCCAAAUCCACCCCACCCGCGUACUCCCUCCUGACCUAGCUGUCGCGAGCCUGCCGCGAGGAGGCCAGGGUGAGGGUGGGAACACAUCCUAGAAGGCUAACACGUGGUUUUCUAUCAUUUAAGCCGGGGACAAGCCGGAAGGCUGACUAGCGCCAUCACUCUGAUAGGCACCCCGCAGUGGGGAUCCUGCUUGAUUAUUAAAGGCAGACCUCCAAGUUCCUCCCUGCUCUGCAACCUUUCUCUUCUCACGGGUCUGCAGUGUUUUAAAAGUCGUCAUUCUGUGUCGUUGAGUUAGAGAGGAAAACAUCGGAUAAAAGAGGAUCAAGAAGAACGAACCCUAGAUACAUCUGUCUGGUGAAAGGAGUCUAGGAAAAGAAGUUUCAUUCUUAGAACAAAUCUUUUUGGAUAUUUAUUAUGUGUGUUUUGUGUCAGGUUUCGGGCCAAAAAGCUGAAAUAAAGAACGAAGUCAAUAAUAAUAUGAAGUGUAUGAGAAAUAGCUGGAAAAUUCAUCAUCCAUGACUUGAAGAAAUUGACGUUUUACAAGUUAUAUUUUCGGUGAAGAGGCACUUUCAAGAUCCUUCUCUGAGACCUGCACCAAUAAGACUAUACCAAUGUUCAGUUGAAACAUCAGACACUGUUCUGGUUAUGAUGGACACCACAGUGAAAGAGACCUGGUCCCUGCCUUGAGGAAACCCAACUGCUGGUAGAGAGCUCAGAGUAAUGAUUAGGAUGCAAUAUGAGGGAUGCAGUAAUUGGGGCAAUUCCUAUGGCUCUAAUGCAGUAUCAGGCACUAAUACUUAUGUAUGAGCAAAAAUUGAUGAGGAUGAUCAUGUUUUAAUACACCAGUACAGACCAAAAUGCCUCUUUGGUAAUUUUCAGAUCUACUUCUGGGAACCGUCACAGCCUGAGAAAGAUGGCAUGCCCUGAAUGGAAUUCACAGAGAAUUAUUUUAAGUCAUGCUACUGGCCCCGCCCAGUUAUGUAACAACUUGCAUUUCCUCAAUUCUCUGGAAUGUGGCCAGUCAGGAACUUCCACAUUUGGUUUUUUUUUUUUCCCCCAUUUGUGGGUAAGAAAGUAAAAGAGGCAGGAAAACUGAAUUGAGAAAGAAGAAAGAAUAGGGGAAGAGAGAAAGAAAAAAGAAAACCAUGAAGCCUGGAAGAGGAGAAAGAAGAGAUAGAUGAGCAAAGAAGCACAUUGCCUGGUGGUAGUAAUAGUUGUCAGACACCCAUCUAUUAUAAUCUGUUUUCCAUGGGAGAUUUUAAGAAGAGGCUAGAUCCCCAGUCUGUCUUAAAAUCAAGAAAAGGGACUCUGUUGCCUCUAAAGUAUACUUCCAGACUCAGCAAUCUCUAAAUUCUGAGUGGGGCAUCCCUAGUUUUGCUGCCUAAAAUCUAUGACAGUUGGAAAUGAUUCCAUUUAAGAUCCAGUUCAAGAAGCUAUACACCCUGAGGAACUUUAUAUUGCCAUUUAGAGGACCGAUAUUCUCCAGAUUGCUUGAGCCCAGGAGUUUGAGACCAGCCUGGGCAACAUGGCAAAACUCCAUCUCUACCAAAAAAAAAAAAAAAACAAAAUUAGCUGGGCAUGGUGGUACACAUCUGUAGAACCAGCUACUCUGGAGGCUGAGCUGAGAGAACCCCUUGAGCCUAGGAGAUGGAGGUUGCUGUGAGCCAAGAUCGUGCCACUGCACUCAAGCCUGGGUGACAGAGCCAGACCCUAUCUCAUAAAUAAAUAAAUGUCAAUAUUCUCCAA